RNAcentral lists this long non-coding RNA (738 nucleotides) under Equus caballus (horse). RNAcentral describes it as "lncRNA (ENSECAG00000054577.1)". The record is from RNAcentral. Lineage: Eukaryota; Metazoa; Chordata; Mammalia; Perissodactyla; Equidae.
AGGGGCAACAAACUCAGAGUCAACACUCCAAAAGAACAGGGCAGAGCUACAAGGAAUUUUACAACCUGCAUGGAAGGAGAAUAGGGAGCACCCAUUAAGAAAAAGACCGCCGGUUCCAUGUGGCUGGCCGUCCAUAUACAAGUGAUGAGGUGUGGGAAGAAGAGUCUAGGGGGUGUGGCUAGGCCAGAUCCAGAGGGACUUCACAUGCCUUACUGAGGAGACUGCACAUUGUUCUGUAGACAAUGGAGAGUCACCAGAGAAUUCUAAAUUUGAGAGUAUUUUGGAAAUACUAUCAUGGCAGCAGGAAAGAAGGUUAUUUGAAGGAGUGGGGACUGGAUGAAGGAAAACCAUUUAAGAUGCCAUUGCAACAGUUAAAGAAAGAAAAGAAACAGACCUUAACUAAGGCGUUGGAAGUGAGAACUGUGCUUGCUUUCCUUCAGCCACGUUUCCAUCGCAAGUACAUCUGCUGGUGCCCGCGCACUGCUGUCAUUGGGAGACUCCUCGUGCCAGUGAAACAGCCCUGCAGUCUCCGUGCAGCUUCCGUGUUAGGAAGGCCUUUCUUUGCAGUGGGCUGAACUGUGACUCGCUGCCGUUUCCAUCUAUGUCCCCGGCUCUCUGCUCCUGAGGCCACUCUCCUUCCACAACACGGUCUGCAGUCUGCCUUCUCCAGCUGAACCAUCGCCGUUCCCUUUUCACAUCCCACAUGCUUUCCAGAUCCUUCGCCACCCUGAUGGCUCU